GAUGAACGCUGGCGGCGUGCCUAAUACAUGCAAGUCGAGCGAACAGACGAGGAGCUUGCUUCUCUGAUGUUAGCGGCGGACGGGUGAGUAACACGUGGAUAACCUACCUAUAAGACUGGGAUAACUUCGGGAAACCGUAGCUAAUACCGGAUAAUAUUUUGAACCGCAUGGUUCAAUAGUGAAAGACGGUCUUGCUGUCACUUAUAGAUGGAUCCGCGCUGCAUUAGCUAGUUGGUAAGGUAACGGCUUACCAAGGCAACGAUGCGUAGCCGACCUGAGAGGGUGAUCGGCCACACUGGAACUGAGACACGGUCCAGACUCCUACGGGAGGCAGCAGUAGGGAAUCUUCCGCAAUGGGCGAAAGCCUGACGGAGCAACGCCGCGUGAGUGAUGAAGGUCUUCGGAUCGUAAAACUCUGUUAUUAGGGAAGAACAAAUGUGUAAGUAACUGUGCACAUCUUGACGGUACCUAAUCAGAAAGCCACGGCUAACUACGUG
RNAcentral lists this ribosomal RNA (497 nucleotides) under uncultured bacterium. RNAcentral describes it as "partial 16S ribosomal RNA". It matches the Rfam family "Bacterial small subunit ribosomal RNA", at positions 28 to 507 of the family's 1533-position model. The record is from RNAcentral.